AUCCCUGUAGCGCAAUGGAUAGCGCGUUGGAUUUCUAAUCCGAAGGUCGUGAGUUCGAAUCUUAUCUGGGGAUG
RNAcentral lists this transfer RNA (74 nucleotides) under Trichonephila inaurata madagascariensis. RNAcentral's name for it is "tRNA-Arg". It matches the Rfam family "tRNA". From Rfam's summary of the family: Transfer RNA (tRNA) molecules are approximately 80 nucleotides in length. Lineage: Eukaryota; Metazoa; Arthropoda; Arachnida; Araneae; Nephilidae. The record is from RNAcentral.